Molecule: transfer RNA, 73 nt
Filed under: Aedes aegypti (yellow fever mosquito)
Lineage: Eukaryota; Metazoa; Arthropoda; Insecta; Diptera; Culicidae
Rfam family: tRNA
About the family: Transfer RNA (tRNA) molecules are approximately 80 nucleotides in length.
Source: Rfam by way of RNAcentral
CCUCUCAUGGCGUAGGGGUAACGCGCCCUAACUAAAAAUCAGGGAGUCGUGAGUUCGAUUCUCACUGAGAAGA